Molecule: ribosomal RNA, 477 nt
Filed under: uncultured bacterium
Lineage: Bacteria
Description: partial 16S ribosomal RNA
Rfam family: Bacterial small subunit ribosomal RNA
Source: RNAcentral
AUUGAACGCUGGCGGCAUGCCUUACACAUGCAAGUCGAACGGUAACAGGUUAAGCUGACGAGUGGCGAACGGGUAAGUAAUGUAUCGGAACGUGCCCAGUCGUGGGGGAUAACUGCUCGAAAGAGCAGCUAAUACCGCAUACGACCUGAGGGUGAAAGCGGGGGAUCGCAAGACCUCGCGCGAUUGGAGCGGCCGAUAUCAGAUUAGGUAGUUGGUGAGGUAAAGGCUCACCAAGCCGACGAUCUGUAGCUGGUCUGAGAGGACGACCAGCCACACUGGGACUGAGACACGGCCCAGACUCCUACGGGAGGCAGCAGUGGGGAAUUUUGGACAAUGGGCGCAAGCCUGAUCCAGCCAUGCCGCGUGCGGGAAGAAGGCCUUCGGGUUGUAAACCGCUUUUGUCAGGGAAGAAAAGGUUCUGGCUAAUACCUGGGACUCAUGACGGUACCUGAAGAAUAAGCACCGGCUAACUACGUG